AGACCCGAAACCCGGUGAUCUAGCCAUGGGCAGGUUGAAGGUUGGGUAACACUAACUGGAGGACCGAACCGACUAAUGUUGAAAAAUUAGCGGAUGACCUGUGGCUGGGGGUGAAAGGCCAAUCAAACCGGGAGAUAGCUGGUUCUCCCCGAAAGCUAUUUAGGUAGCGCCUCGUGAAUUCAUCUCCGGGGGUAGAGCACUGUUUCGGCUAGGGGGCCAUCCCGGCUUACCAACCCGAUGCAAACUGCGAAUACCGGAGAAUGUUAUCACGGGAGACACACGGCGGGUGCUAACGUCCGUCGUGAAGAGGGAAACAACCCAGACCGCCAGCUAAGGUCCCAAAGUCAUGGUUAAGUGGGAAACGAUGUGGGAAGGCCCAGACAGCCAGGAUGUUGGCUUAGAAGCAGCCAUCAUUUAAAGAAAGCGUAAUAGCUCACUGGUCGAGUCGGCCUGCGCGGAAGAUGUAACGGGGCUAAACCAUGCACCGAAGCUGCGGCAGCGACACUCAGGUGUUGUUGGGUAGGGGAGCGUUCUGUAAGCCUGCGAAGGUGGCCUGUGAGGGUUGCUGGAGGUAUCAGAAGUGCG
RNAcentral lists this ribosomal RNA (585 nucleotides) under Salmonella enterica subsp. enterica serovar Infantis. RNAcentral's name for it is "partial 23S ribosomal RNA". It matches the Rfam family "Bacterial large subunit ribosomal RNA", at positions 711 to 1292 of the family's 2925-position model. RNAcentral also lists the same sequence under 1 other name. The record is from RNAcentral. Lineage: Bacteria; Pseudomonadati; Pseudomonadota; Gammaproteobacteria; Enterobacterales; Enterobacteriaceae.